CUACGGGGUCUGCGGGAAACCCAUCCAUCAGGCGCGUCUUGACAAACAGCACCUGGCACCUGGCGCUGUGUCCAGGCGGGUAUAAGAGGCGGCGAAAAUGGAAGUCCCAAACAUUCGCUGCUGACCCACGAGAUGGAGCGACGCACCCUGCUGGUUAUGCUACUGGUGUGCAGCGCCUUGCUGGCCACCACCGCCGAGGCCUCGCCGGUGCCUGAGCCUGAGCCUGAGCCUGAGCCCCGGCGCGGUUCCUACACAAGACCAAGACCCCGACCCCGACCCUACUUCCCGCCACGCUGCGUGUGUGUCAAGGCUCCCUGUUACUGCUGACCUCCUCCACCGUUACCUGACCUUCGCCAUGCCCGCACGAACACCGCCAACGGACCACGGACCACGGACACGGAAAACUCUCACUCUUAUUCUUUCAUAGUAUUUACUCCUCAAUAAAGGCAUGCAAAUUUCCUGU
Eriocheir sinensis (Chinese mitten crab) is the source of this 463-nucleotide long non-coding RNA. RefSeq lists it as uncharacterized. The transcript is spliced from 3 exons. Lineage: Eukaryota; Metazoa; Arthropoda; Malacostraca; Decapoda; Varunidae. The record is from RefSeq and is a predicted model, not a curated record.